RNAcentral lists this ribosomal RNA (497 nucleotides) under uncultured bacterium. Its description in RNAcentral is "partial 16S ribosomal RNA". It matches the Rfam family "Bacterial small subunit ribosomal RNA", at positions 28 to 507 of the family's 1533-position model. The record is from RNAcentral.
GAUGAACGCUGGCGGCGUGCCUAAUACAUGCAAGUCGAGCGAACAGACGAGGAGCUUGCUCCUCUGACGUUAGCGGCGGACGUGUGAGUAACACGUGGAUAACCUACCUAUAAGACUGGGAUCACUUCGGGAAACCGGAGCUAAUACCGGAUAAUCUAUUGAACCGCAUGGUUCAAUAGUUAAAGACGGUUUUGCUGUCACUUAUAGAUUGAUCCGCGCCUCAUUAGCUAGUUGGUAAGGUAACGGCUUACCAAGGCAACGCUGCGUAGCCGACCUGAGAGGGUGAUCGGCCACACUGAAACUGAGACACGGUCCAGACUCCUACGGGAGGCAGCAGUAGGGAAUCUUGCGCAAUGGGCGAAAGAUUGACGGAGCAACGCCGCGUGAGUGAUGAAGGUCUUCGGAUCGUAAAACUCUGUUAUUAGGGAAGAACAAAUGUGUAAGUAACUAUGCACGUCUUGACGGUACCUAAUCAGAAAGCAACGGCUAACUACGUG